This 2552-nucleotide long non-coding RNA is filed under the name Lynx pardinus (Iberian lynx). The record is from RNAcentral. Lineage: Eukaryota; Metazoa; Chordata; Mammalia; Carnivora; Felidae.
GACCCUGCUGCAGCAGCACCACCCCCUCGCCUGCUGCACUACUCACCUGGGGGCUGUUGAGCCAGCAGGGCCUCCGGAUGGGGCAGACUGAACAGCAGCACCUUCCCAUCUGAGCAGGCAAGAGCCAAGAGGCCCAAUCGGGGCAGAAGAGGAGCCUAGAGGGGGAGACCAGAUCUGUGCUGAGGCUUGCUGCCUUCAGAGCCUCUCAGAAAACUUUUGAGGUUUCGGCCCCUGGAAAUGAUAUGGGGUUGCCGGGAAAACUCCAUCCACCGCUCUCUGUCCCCUCUGAGAACUCGCAGGGCCUCUCUGUUCUGACUCUGAGUCCUAAAGCAUCCCACAACCAACAGGGAGGUACCUUCCGAGGGGUGCCUGGAAGUUCCCAUGCUCCACUGGGGCAGAACUUGAGGUCCCAGAUGCAGCCAUGGUCACAAGCAAUCCCAUAGACAAAGUGGGCCCUGUUGCCAGGACUGAGGAGAGAAAGCAUAUGGGGAGAAUGGGUAGGGAGAAGGGGCCUAGGGCUGCCAGAGCCUGUGCUCUGCCCCAUCUCAACCCAAUCCAAGCGCCCCAGCGCCCCUGCCCAGCCCCAUCCUUCUCUCCUCCUCAACCACCCUCCCACAGCAGCGUUCCAGCCCCACCUCACCAGCUUUCUUGCUGCAAGGUCCCGAGGCCCCAGAGUUGGAGCAGCCCGGGACCCGAAUGAAGCUGGCUCAGUGCAUGUGUCUCAUUCAUGUCAGGGCUGGAGAAAAGGGCCACAUACUGCGAAGCUGAUGCCCCCUCUGGCACUGGGCACCAAUCCAGAGCCCAGAGGGGUCCCCCUGUGAAGAAGGACACAUCCCAGCGCUCUGGGUGUGCUGUGAUCGAGCUAAAUCUAGAGAAAAGUCAAAGAUGGGAUGAAGAAAGGAAUUAAUAAAAGGUAAUAAGGACUUCAUAAGGUGAGUGGAUAAGCAUCCAAACAAUGGAAUAUUAUAUGGCACUAAAAAUAAAUGAGCUAUCAAACAAUGAAAAGGCACGGAGGAACCUUAAAUGCAUGUUUAAGUGAAAGAAACCCACCUGAAAAAGGCUACACGCUGUAUGAACCCAACUAUGUAGCAUUUUGGAAAAGGCAAAACUAUACAGUCAAAAGAUCAGUGAUAGCCAGGGAUUAGAGGGGAGGAUGAGUAGCUAGAACACAUAGGAUUUUUAGGGCAGCAAAACUACUCUGUAUGAUCCCAUCAUGACAGAGAUAUGUCAUUAUACAUUUGUCCAAACCCAAAGAAUGUACAACACCAAGAGUGAAUCCUGACGUACACUAUGGACUUUGAGUGAUGAUGUGUCAAUGUAGGCUCAUUCAUCGUAACAAAUGUACCCUCUGGUGGGGGAUGUUGAUAAUGGGGCAGCUGUAUAUGUAUGGGGGCAGGGGAGUAUAUGGGAGAUCUCUGCACCUUCCUCUCAAUUUUGAACCUAAAACUGCUCCAAAAAAUUAAGCCUUUAAAAAAAAAAAAAAAAAAAGUAAUGAGGACAGAAUGGGAGCUCCACCUGGAGCUGGUAUGAACUAGCUUAAGCAAGGGCCAGAAUAUCAAGAACAUUCUACAGGUGACAAUAGUCCUUAGCCACCAUCUGUAUCUUCCUCCUUUCCUUCCAAAGCCUGUCUAGCUCUAGUUCACCUUCAAAGAUGACAGGCUGUGAAUUCUGGUUUACCACAGGGCUCUCCAGGGCGAGUGUGCCCAGGUCUAUCUGAGUAGAUGUGACCUUGUAAACGGGUUUGACCUUCCAUCUCCGUAGCUGCCCUCAGUCUGGCCAGCAGUGAUAAGCACUGCAAACUACCUGGGUUGACCAGGUCUAGCAAGGCUGCCCACCCUGGGACCAACUGGAAUAGCAUCAGGGGAAGAAGAGGGCCAAUAUGUCAUCCCUUUCAACAUUCAUUUGUCCUGUUUCUCCUAGAACCAGAAAGAGAUGCAAUCUUCACCUGUUUAUUCGGUAGAGUGUGCCAUCUUCAGGAAGUCCUUCACGCUGUACAGAGAACAGUGGAGACUUCUCCUGCUGGGGCAGGUAGGGCGCCGCCUCACUGGGGGCAGGCAAAGGAAAGAGCAUGAAUGUGGAAGACUUUCACCCACCCCAGGAUUCCCUGUCCCUCUUCUGAUCCCAGGAGUGUCAUUCCCUCCUCGGCUUCAGAAUGUCUAACUUACAGUUCAGACAACAAGUGCCACUUCCAGGCUAAUGGAAUCCACUCUGCAAACUCCCAGUACGAGUGCUUCUGUUCUCGGCUGGAGGGACAGAAGCAGCGUUAGUGAAGGAGGAGAGAAAUUCUUGGGCAGCUCUGUCCAGUAACCUGUGUGCAGUGAUGGGAGGGAUCUAUGAUGUGUGCUGUCCAACGGAUACAUUAGCCGCUAGCUGUAAGUGGCUAUUGAAAUGUGGCUAGUGCAGCUGUGAAACUGGACUUUUAAUUUCAUUUUAAUUAAUUUGAAAUUACAUUUAAAUGGCCACACACACAGCUAGUGGCUUAUGUCGGACAGCAUGGCUCUGGAGCUCUUGCCUUUAGAGCGGUACCUUUUAAUUAUGAAUGUCUUCAGUGU